GAUGAACGCUGGCGGCGUGCCUAAUACAUGCAAGUCGAGCGGACGGACGCUGCUCUUGCUUCUCUCACGUUAGCGGCGCACGGGAGAGUCACGCGUGGAAACCCUACCUAUAAUACUGGUAUAACUUCGGGAAACCGGAUCUAAUCCCGUAUAAUCUCUUGAACCGCAUGGUUCAAUAGUAAAAGACGGUCUUGCUGUCACUUAUAGCUGGAUCCGCGCUGCAUUAGCUAGUUGGUAAGGUAACGGCUUACCACGGCAACGAUGCGUAGCCGACCUGUGAGGGUGGUCGGCGACAUUGGAACGGAGACAGGGACCAGACUCCUACGGGAGGCAGCAGUAGGGAAUCUUAGGCAAUGGGCGAAAGCCUGACGGAGCAAGGCCGCGUCAGUGAUGAAGGUCUUGGGAUCGUAAAACCCUGUUAUUAGGGAAGAACAGAUGUGUAAGUAACUGUGCACUUCUUGACGGUAACUAAUCAGAAAGCCACGGCUAACUACGUG
Molecule: ribosomal RNA, 497 nt
Filed under: uncultured bacterium
Lineage: Bacteria
Description: partial 16S ribosomal RNA
Rfam family: Bacterial small subunit ribosomal RNA
Source: RNAcentral